CCCUAGUAACGGCGAGUGAAGCGGCAACAGCUCAAAUUUGAAAUCUGGCUCUUUUAGAGUCCGAGUUGUAAUUUGCAGAGGGCGCUUUGGCUUUGGCAGCGGUCCAAGUUCCUUGGAACAGGACGUCACAGAGGGUGAGAAUCCCGUACGUGGUCGCUGGCUAUUGCCGUGUAAAGCCCCUUCGACGAGUCGAGUUGUUUGGGAAUGCAGCUCUAAAUGGGAGGUACAUUUCUUCUAAAGCUAAAUAUUGGCCAGAGACCGAUAGCGCACAAGUAGAGUGAUCGAAAGAUGAAAAGCACUUUGGAAAGAGAGUCAAACAGCACGUGAAAUUGUUGAAAGGGAAGCGCUUGCAGCCAGACUUGCUUACAGUUGCUCAUCCGGGUUUCUACCCGGUGCACUCUUCUGUAGGCAGGCCAGCAUCAGUUUGGGCGGUAGGAUAAAGGUCUCUGUCACGUACCUCCUUUCGGGGAGGCCUUAUAGGGGAGACGACAUACUACCAGCCUGGACUGAGGUCCGCGCAUCUGCUAGGAUGCUGGCGUAAUGGCUGUAAGCGGCCCGUCUUGAAACACGGACCAAGGAGUCUAACAUCUAUGCGAGUGUUUGGGUGUCAAGCCCGAGCGCGUAAUGAAAGUGAACGGAGGUGGGAACCCGCAAGGGUGCACCAUCGACCGAUCCUGAUGUCUUCGGAAGGAUUUGAGUAAGAGCAUGGCUGUUGGGACCCGAAAGAUGGUGAACUAUGCUUGAAUAGGGUGAAGCCAGAGGAAACUCUGGUGGAGGCUCGCAGCGGUUCUGACGUGCAAAUCGAUCGUCAAAUUUGGGCAUAGGGGCGAAAGACUAAUCGAACUAUCUAGUAGCUGGUUCCUGCCGA
RNAcentral lists this ribosomal RNA (868 nucleotides) under Alternaria alternata. RNAcentral describes it as "LSU rRNA". It matches the Rfam family "Eukaryotic large subunit ribosomal RNA", at positions 78 to 964 of the family's 3401-position model. The record is from RNAcentral. Lineage: Eukaryota; Fungi; Ascomycota; Dothideomycetes; Pleosporales; Pleosporaceae.